Molecule: ribosomal RNA, 589 nt
Filed under: aquatic bacterium STS_EndoC_11
Lineage: Bacteria; Pseudomonadati; Pseudomonadota; Gammaproteobacteria
Description: bacterial SSU rRNA
Rfam family: Bacterial small subunit ribosomal RNA
Source: RNAcentral
CCUACGGGAGGCAGCAGUGGGGAAUAUUGGACAAUGGGCGCAAGCUGGAUCCAGCCAUACCGCGUGGGUGAAGAAGGCCUUCGGGUUGUAAAACCCUUUUGUUGGGAAAGAAAUCCAGCCGGCUAAUACCUGGUUGGGAUGACGGUACCCAAAGAAUAAGCACCGGCUAACUUCGUGCCAGCAGCCGCGGUAAUACGAAGGGUGCAAGCGUUACUCGGAAUUACUGGGCGUAAAGCGUGCGUAGGUGGUUAUUUAAGUCCGUUGUGAAAGCCCUGGGCUCAACCUGGGAACUGCAGUGGAUACUGGAUGACUAGAAUGUGGUAGAGGGUAGCGGAAUUCCUGGUGUAGCAGUGAAAUGCGUAGAGAUCAGGAGGAACAUCCAUGGCGAAGGCAGCUACCUGGACCAACAUUGACACUGAGGCACGAAAGCGUGGGGAGCAAACAGGAUUAGAUACCCUGGCAGUCCACGCCCUAAACGAUGCGAACUGGAUGUUGGGUGCAAUUUGGCACGCAGUAUCGAAGCUAACGCGUUAAGUUCGCCGCCUGGGGAGUACGGUCGCAAGACUGAAACUCAAAGGAAUUGACGGGG